GAUGAAGACGUAGUGAAAUGCGAUAAGUAAUGUGAAUUGCAGAAUUCAGUGAAUCAUCGAAUCUUUGAACGCACAUUGCGCCCGUCAGUAUUCUGGCGGGCAUGCCUGUUCGAGCGUCAUUACGCCCCUCAAGUCCCCUGUGGACUUGGUGUUGGGGAUCGGCGAGGCUGGUUUUCCAGCACAGCCGUCCCUUAAAUUAAUUGGCGGUCUCGCCGUGGCCCUCCUCUGCGCAGUAGUAAAACACUCGCAACAGGAGCCCGGCGCGGUCCACUGCCGUAAAACCCCCCAACUUUUUAUAGUUGACCUCGAAUCAGGUAGGACUACCCGCUGAACUUAAGCAUAUCAAUAAGCGGAGGA
This 357-nucleotide unclassified non-coding RNA is filed under the name soil metagenome. RNAcentral's name for it is "partial contains 5.8S ribosomal RNA, internal transcribed spacer 2, and large subunit ribosomal RNA". The stretch from base 1 to 119 matches the Rfam family "5.8S ribosomal RNA", at positions 35 to 154 of the family's 154-position model. The record is from RNAcentral.